This 468-nucleotide ribosomal RNA is filed under the name uncultured bacterium. RNAcentral's name for it is "partial 16S ribosomal RNA". It matches the Rfam family "Bacterial small subunit ribosomal RNA", at positions 28 to 507 of the family's 1533-position model. The record is from RNAcentral.
GACGAACGCUGGCGGCGUGCUUAACACAUGCAAGUCGAACGGAAAGGCCCUGCUUUUGUGGGGUGCUCGAGUGGCGAACGGGUGAGUAACACGUGAGUAACCUGCCCUUGACUUUGGGAUAACUUCAGGAAACUGGGGCUAAUACUGGAUAGGAGCUCCUGCUGCAUGGUGGGGGUUGGAAAGUUUCGGCGGUUGGGGAUGGACUCGCGGCUUAUCAGCUUGUUGGUGGGGUAGUGGCUUACCAAGGCUUUGACGGGUAGCCGGCCUGAGAGGGUGACCGGCCACAUUGGGACUGAGAUACGGCCCAGACUCCUACGGGAGGCAGCAGUGGGGAAUAUUGCACAAUGGGCGGAAGCCUGAUGCAGCAACGCCGCGUGCGGGAUGACGGCCUUCGGGUUGUAAACCGCUUCCGCCUGUGACGAAGCGUGAGUGACGGUAAUGGGUAAAGAAGCACCGGCUAACUACGUG